RNAcentral lists this ribosomal RNA (675 nucleotides) under Triticum aestivum (bread wheat). Its description in RNAcentral is "partial small subunit ribosomal RNA". The record is from RNAcentral. Lineage: Eukaryota; Viridiplantae; Streptophyta; Magnoliopsida; Poales; Poaceae.
AUGGCGGAGGAACCGUCCGCCAAGCUUCAUCAUGCCGAGACGUCAAACAAGAGGAGCAACCUCGUCGACAUUAACGUCCCCGGCGAGAAGCGCGAGUACACCAGAACGCUCAAAGGGGUUGAGCUCCAUGGCAAGGAGACGCUGGAGAUAGUCUGCACCAGCGAACCAGACAAGGCCGACGAGAUGAUGAGCAGGCUCAGGAUGAAGGGCGGCGGCUUGUAUCCGAGCUUCAUCGGAGUUGAUGUGGAGCCCAAGCGCCUCAAAGACUUCCUACGGGAGGAGAAAUUGUACACAUUUGUUGGUUUCAGCAUUGGAGGUGACAAACGGAUGCUGCAGGAGUCUGGUUUGGAAAUCAACCCCAACAACUUCAUCGACAUGCAACGCAAGUGGAAAGAUCCAAAGACCAGAAAAUACUACGACUCCUUGGCCGAUGUUGCAGGCGGCGUCAUCCACCCAUUCUACGAAGGCAUGAAGAAGAAGAUGAACAGGGCAGACCACAAACUGUGGGGGAAUAGCCCGCUGCCAGACAACCUCAUCACGUACGCAGGAAUAGAUGCGUACGCAAUGUACAAGUCAUGGAAGACAAUCCACAACAUCGUGACAGGUUGGGAUAUUUCAAAAGGGCAGGAGGCUGACCCCUACUACCACUGCAACUUCGCGGAUGAAGAUGCAUGA